Molecule: transfer RNA, 70 nt
Filed under: Marmota monax (woodchuck)
Lineage: Eukaryota; Metazoa; Chordata; Mammalia; Rodentia; Sciuridae
Description: tRNA.Gly
Source: RNAcentral
GGGAUGUUGCUAAAGUGGUAACACGCUCGCCUGCCAUGCGUGCAUCCCAGGUUCGAUCCUGAGCACCACA